This is a long non-coding RNA of Chiloscyllium plagiosum (whitespotted bambooshark), 458 nucleotides long. RefSeq lists it as uncharacterized. The record is from RefSeq and is a predicted model, not a curated record. NCBI's taxonomy places the organism in Eukaryota, Metazoa, Chordata, Chondrichthyes, Orectolobiformes, Hemiscylliidae.
CCCACAUCCCCUCAGCAGCUGCUGGUGACGUUCGAGCCUUCGGAGUGAAACUCGAUCAGUUUAUUGCAGAGUUGAUUGACUUGAACACUGGUAUUCCUUUCGGAGUGAACCCUAAUGUCUGCUCGUAAUGUUUGAUUCCAAGCAGUGGCCAGGUCAUGCACAGCAUCAUGAGUAAUGUCCAUCCUUUGCAGAGAAGACUGGAACGACUCUUGUGGGAAUGCUAGGAUAUCGAUGUCCCAACAACUAAGUUCCAACAGGAUGUUCAGGACCUCAAGAGAAGCACAGCCUCGCUGCCAGAAGCCACGACCUUGACCUCUGAGGGAGAGAGCAUCAAGGCCUCAGAGGGACAAUGAGCAAGUUUGACUCCUAUCUUGGCUGAUAGAUGGACAGGAUUACAACUCCGUAUUCCUGGCUAAAAGGUGUUCAGAUGAGAAAGAGAGUGCAAUAAAAGAGGAAGG